GGGAGCAGCAGUAGGGAAUCUUCCGCAAAGAUGGGAGAGAAUGAGGGAGCACGCCCGCGUGAGUGAUGAGGCUUUCGGGUCGUAAAACUCUUUUGUUAGGGAAGAAAAGUGCUAGUUGAAUAAGCUGGCACCUUGCCGGUACCUAACCAGAAAGCCACGGCUAACUACGUGCCAGCAGCCGCGGUAAUACGUAGGUGGCAAGCGUUAUCCGGAAUUAUUGGGCGUAAAGCGCGCGCAGGUGGUUUCUUAAGUCUGAUGUGAAAGCCCACGGCUCAACCGUGGAGGGUCAUUGGAAACUGGGAGACUUGAGUGCAGAAGAGGAAAGUGGAAUUCCAUGUGUAGCGGUGAAAUGCGUAGAGAUAUGGAGGAACACCAGUGGCGAAGGCGACUUUCUGGUCUGUAACUGACACUGAGGCGCGAAAGCGUGGGGAGCAAACAGGAUUAGAUACCCUGGUAGUCCACGCCGUAAACGCUUAGUGCUAGGUGUUAGAGGGUUUCCGCCCUUUAGUGCUGAAGUUAACGCAUUAAGCACUCCGCCUGGGGAGUCGGGCGCAAGGCUGAACUCAAUGAUUUGGCGGGGG
This 581-nucleotide ribosomal RNA is filed under the name uncultured Bacillus sp. Its description in RNAcentral is "bacterial SSU rRNA". It matches the Rfam family "Bacterial small subunit ribosomal RNA", at positions 344 to 919 of the family's 1533-position model. The record is from RNAcentral. Lineage: Bacteria; Bacillati; Bacillota; Bacilli; Caryophanales; Bacillaceae.